Molecule: ribosomal RNA, 450 nt
Filed under: uncultured bacterium
Lineage: Bacteria
Description: partial 16S ribosomal RNA
Rfam family: Bacterial small subunit ribosomal RNA
Source: RNAcentral
GUGGGGAAUAUUGGACAAUGGGCGAAAGCCUGAUCCAGCCAUGCCGCGUGUGUGAAGAAGGUCUUCGGAUUGUAAAGCACUUUAAGUUGGGAGGAAGGGCAGUAAGUUAAUACCUUGCUGUUUUGACGUUACCGACAGAAUAAGCACCGGCUAACUUCGUGCCAGCAGCCGCGGUAAUACGAAGGGUGCAAGCGUUAAUCGGAAUUACUGGGCGUAAAGCGCGCGUAGGUGGUUCAGCAAGUUGGAGGUGAAAUCCCCGGGCUCAACCUGGGAACUGCCUCCAAAACUACUGAGCUAGAGUACGGUAGAGGGUAGUGGAAUUUCCUGUGUAGCGGUGAAAUGCGUAGAUAUAGGAAGGAACACCAGUGGAGAAGGCGACUACCUGGACUGAUACUGACACUGAGGUGCGAAAGCGUGGGGAGCAAACAGGAUUAGAUACCCCUGUAGUCC